RNAcentral lists this ribosomal RNA (622 nucleotides) under uncultured bacterium. RNAcentral describes it as "bacterial SSU rRNA". It matches the Rfam family "Bacterial small subunit ribosomal RNA", at positions 68 to 687 of the family's 1533-position model. The record is from RNAcentral.
GGUAACAGGUCUUCGGAUGCUGACGAGUGGCGAACGGGUGAGUAAUACAUCGGAACGUGCCUAGUAGUGGGGGAUAACUACUCGAAAGAGUAGCUAAUACCGCAUGAGAUCUACGGAUGAAAGCAGGGGACCUUCGGGCCUUGUGCUACUAGAGCGGCUGAUGGCAGAUUAGGUAGUUGGUGGGGUAAAGGCUUACCAAGCCUGCGAUCUGUAGCUGGUCUGAGAGGACGACCAGCCACACUGGGACUGAGACACGGCCCAGACUCCUACGGGAGGCAGCAGUGGGGAAUUUUGGACUAUGGGCGAAAGCCUGAUCCAGCAAUGCCGCGUGCAGGAUGAAGGCCCUCGGGUUGUAAACUGCUUUUGUACGGAACGAAAAGCCUGGGGCUAAUAUCCCCGGGUCAUGACGGUACCGUAAGAAUAAGCACCGGCUAACUACGUGCCAGCAGCCGCGGUAAUACGCAGGGUGCAAGCGUUAAUCGGAAUUACUGGGCGUAAAGCGUGCGCAGGCGGUUUUGUAAGACAGUGGUGAAAUCCCCGGGCUCAACCUGGGAACUGCCAUUGUGACUGCAAGGCUAGAGUGCGGCAGAGGGGGAUGGAAUUCCGCGUGUAGCAGUGAAAU